GAUUUUUGUAAUUCGUAGGAUUUUGUAAUUCGUAGGAUUUCAUAAUUUUUUUUAUAAAAAAUUAAACAUUUCAUAAUUCGUAGGAUUUUUGUUUAUUUAAGAAAAUAAUUAGUUUGGUAUAUAUAAAGAACUUGUUUUUUAAUAUGUUUUUAUGUUUUAUCUGACUUUUUUGUUUUUGUAACAUUUUUUUAUUUAUUAUUAAAAUGCAUUUUAUAUAUAAAAAAAGAAAAGGAAAAAGAACCUAAAAAACCCUUGAAAGCACAAGAAAAGCAGACUAAGGGCCGAGCCUCA
Molecule: long non-coding RNA, 291 nt
Filed under: Salvia miltiorrhiza (redroot sage)
Lineage: Eukaryota; Viridiplantae; Streptophyta; Magnoliopsida; Lamiales; Lamiaceae
Description: long non-coding RNA (SMIL_LNC003397)
Source: RNAcentral